AACAACUCUUUAGAGAGGAUGAGUGUCUAAACUGGAUAAAGUGUGUGUCAAUAGAUUUAUAUGAAUUUAUAUGCAUUCAUUGUUUUUAUUUGUAUUUUUCUUCUCUUCAUGGUCUUCUCUUCAUGGUCUUCAUGGAUUGAUGGCAAAAAUCCAGACAGUGCCUUCAGUCAUUUUAGAAACCUAUCGACUGUGAUGUUGUGUUUCCUUGGAUUGGUCCUAUCUUACUUUGUAGCACACUGAAAGUGACCAUUAGCCCUCAGAAUGGAUAUUUAUUGCUGUGACACUGAUGCUCACUACUUAGUUACCUCAUCUAGCAUUCUCACUGCAUAGCUGUUAGGGAAACUUCUCCGCUUUUGAGGGAAGCAACUACUGAACAAAUGAGAUGUAAAGAUUAGUCUUUCUAAUUUUGAUUUGACAUGCAAGUAAUGAUCCAUUUAAUUGUCUAAUCUUUCAGUUAAUAAAAUCAGCUUAAAGAAGAAUGUACUAUUCAAGCCUCUUGCGACUACUUAAAAAUAUCAAUCCAUCACAACUUUACCUUAGAGCUCCUUUUUGAUAUAAACAUUUAACUGCUUAAUAAAUCUGAUAGUUUACUCUCCAGUCAGAAGUGAGCAUCCCUAUGUCCUAGAGCAGAGGCCUUGGAAGUGGGGACUUUUGAGGGAACAGGGCUCUUGUUUGUCAUUUAGAGUACACUUGAUGAAGGGAGCAAUGAAAGACGAUGUAUCUUCUUCAUUAUCUUAGCCUGGAAUGUUACCAUGACAACAGCAUCCUUCAGCUUAUUGCUGUACACAACAGGAAUCUCUUAUUAUUGCUGUUAUUGUAUUUGUUACAAAUAAGUAACACAAAAACAAUUUCGCCUCAGGUCUUGCAGUCUACACUAACGAGCUAAUUAAUGGAAUCAGGUAUAUUAGAUAAAGCAGACAAACAAAAUGUGCAAUUAUCGCCAGUUAGUAGCUGAGUUACUCACUUACUCGAUCAAUUGUUUUGUUUUUAUGGCUGUCCAUAUGAACUGCUUUUUAAUUGUUCAAUAUUUUUUGUAUUAAGAUUGUUGUGCAACAUUUCUAUUUUUAAUUUGAACUAUUUUUCAUCUUAAUUGUCCACUGUUUAUGAACUUAUUAAAACAAAUGAUCAGUUGGAUAUA
RNAcentral lists this long non-coding RNA (1138 nucleotides) under Sinocyclocheilus grahami. RNAcentral describes it as "lncRNA (ENSSGRG00000033155.1)". Lineage: Eukaryota; Metazoa; Chordata; Actinopteri; Cypriniformes; Cyprinidae. The record is from RNAcentral.